AAAAAAAAAACCCACUCCGGACAUAGUGACUGUAGCUGGGUCUUGGACUGCAAGAAGACCAUCCUGCAGUGAGCACAGGGAGGAGGAGGUGCAUGCAAGCGAUACUGCAGGGCCAGAAUCAGAAUCAUCAGCACGUAGCAACUGAUUGGAUUUCUGGAGCAAGAAAGAAGAGUUGAAGAUAAUGUUGAACUUUCUCAUUGGGAGAUUUUACUAACAUUAUUGAGCAAUUACUGCAUGAUGGAUGUUACGCUAAGAGCAUUCUACAAUUAUUAUACCUCUUACGUCUCCCAGUAGUUCUGUUAAGCACUGAAUACUGUGGAUACAAAGAGCCCAGAGUCAUCAAGAGGAACCAGGAACUCUAACAUGAUGUGUGGAGCAGGCUAUGCAAAGAGGGGUACCUCUCCCAGUCAGAGGCAUCAGAGAAGGCUUCCUGGUGGAGAACGUGUGUGAUGGACUUAUGGACUCAUUCACUGCAUCGAUCUUGGGCACUGCCCAGCUUCAUGUUCCACUCUCCCGUUUAUCCCAAAUUGCUGAGGAUUUCCUAAGAACCAUCACUUUCCAGAGCUCAUUAUUUUCUGUUAUUUGCCUCAGCAGCACAAGCUGUUUUCACAAAGAAAUAAAGGGUCUUCUAUUCCA
Long non-coding RNA from Homo sapiens (human), 636 nucleotides. RefSeq annotates it as long independently transcribed non-coding RNA 2413. The transcript has 4 exons. The record is from RefSeq and is a predicted model, not a curated record. Lineage: Eukaryota; Metazoa; Chordata; Mammalia; Primates; Hominidae.